This 506-nucleotide long non-coding RNA is filed under the name Triticum aestivum (bread wheat). Its description in RNAcentral is "long non-coding RNA (TAES_LNC000555)". The record is from RNAcentral. Lineage: Eukaryota; Viridiplantae; Streptophyta; Magnoliopsida; Poales; Poaceae.
CCCAUUUCCUCGCUGACCCAUCAUGCGAAAGGUACGCCGUUAGAGUGAGUGCGCCCGCGCUCCGCUCCUUCGACUGAUUGUUCGCAUCGGAUCUCAGGUUCUCCCCCUAAGGUGCAUAGCCGAAAGUUCUACCUUGUACCAAUCCGUAACUUGGUACCCGCUCCUUCGACUGAUUGUUCGCAUCGGAUCUCAGGUUCUCUAUUGCACUCCCCGAUUGGGGUUCUUUUCACCUUUCCCUCACGGUACUUGUACGCUAUCGGUCAUUGAGGAAUACUUAGGCUUAGAGGGUGGUCCCCCUUUCUCGCGUAAAAGCGAUCAUCAUUCGAACACGCCGCGUUCUAUUUUUAACGUCUAAUUAGAGCGGGGAAUCAUUCCAAUUAGGAAGUUCAGCUCGUUGCUUUUUAUUUUACCAGAAUUGGAGCCAGGCUCUAUCCAUUUAUUCAUUAGACCCAGAAAAUCGUAAUUUUGGAUUCCAUUCAAAAAAGAUUGAUUUUAUUACGACAUGC